This 1431-nucleotide ribosomal RNA is filed under the name uncultured organism. RNAcentral describes it as "16S ribosomal RNA". It matches the Rfam family "Bacterial small subunit ribosomal RNA". The record is from RNAcentral.
CAGGCUUAACACAUGCAAGUCGAGGGGCAGCAUGGUCUUAGCUUGCUAAGGCCGAUGGCGACCGGCGCACGGGUGAGUAACACGUAUCCAACCUGCCGUCUACUCUUGGACAGCCUUCUGAAAGGAAGAUUAAUACAAGAUGGCAUCAUGAGUCCGCAUGUUCACAUGAUUAAAGGUAUUCCGGUAGACGAUGGGGAUGCGUUCCAUUAGAUAGUAGGCGGGGUAACGGCCCACCUAGUCUUCGAUGGAUAGGGGUUCUGAGAGGAAGGUCCCCCACAUUGGAACUGAGACACGGUCCAAACUCCUACGGGAGGCAGCAGUGAGGAAUAUUGGUCAAUGGGCGAGAGCCUGAACCAGCCAAGUAGCGUGAAGGAUGACUGCCCUAUGGGUUGUAAACUUCUUUUAUAAAGGAAUAAAGUCGGGUAUGCAUACCCGUUUGCAUGUACUUUAUGAAUAAGGAUCGGCUAACUCCGUGCCAGCAGCCGCGGUAAUACGGAGGAUCCGAGCGUUAUCCGGAUUUAUUGGGUUUAAAGGGAGCGUAGAUGGAUGUUUAAGUCAGUUGUGAAAGUUUGCGGCUCAACCGUAAAAUUGCAGUUGAUACUGGAUAUCUUGAGUGCAGUUGAGGCAGGCGGAAUUCGUGGUGUAGCGGUGAAAUGCUUAGAUAUCACGAAGAACUCCGAUUGCGAAGGCAGCCUGCUAAGCUGCAACUGACAUUGAGGCUCGAAAGUGUGGGUAUCAAACAGGAUUAGAUACCCUGGUAGUCCACACGGUAAACGAUGAAUACUCGCUGUUUGCGAUAUACAGCAAGCGGCCAAGCGAAAGCGUUAAGUAUUCCACCUGGGGAGUACGCCGGCAACGGUGAAACUCAAAGGAAUUGACGGGGGCCCGCACAAGCGGAGGAACAUGUGGUUUAAUUCGAUGAUACGCGAGGAACCUUACCCGGGCUUAAAUUGCAGAUGAAUUACGGUGAAAGCCGUAAGCCGCAAGGCAUCUGUGAAGGUGCUGCAUGGUUGUCGUCAGCUCGUGCCGUGAGGUGUCGGCUUAAGUGCCAUAACGAGCGCAACCCUUGUUGUCAGUUACUAACAGGUUCCGCUGAGGACUCUGACAAGACUGCCAUCGUAAGAUGUGAGGAAGGUGGGGAUGACGUCAAAUCAGCACGGCCCUUACGUCCGGGGCUACACACGUGUUACAAUGGGGGGUACAGAGGGCCGCUACCACGCGAGUGGAUGCCAAUCCCCAAAACCUCUCUCAGUUCGGACUGGAGUCUGCAACCCGACUCCACGAAGCUGGAUUCGCUAGUAAUCGCGCAUCAGCCACGGCGCGGUGAAUACGUUCCCGGGCCUUGUACACACCGCCCGUCAAGCCAUGGGAGCCGGGGGUACCUGAAGUGCGUAACCGCGAGGAGCGCCCUAGGGUAAAACUGGUGACUGG